UACGUAGGUGGCGAGUGUUGUCCGGAUUUAUUGGGCGUAAAGCGCGCGCAGGCGGUUCGUUAAGUCUGGUGUGAAAGCUCCUGGCUCAACUAGGAGAGGUCACUGGAUACUGGCGGACUCGAGGGAGGCAGAGGAAGGUGGAAUUCCCGGUGUAGUGGUGAAAUGCGUAGAGAUCGGGAGGAACACCAGUGGCGAAGGCGGCCUUCUGGGCCUUUCCUGACGCUGAGGCGCGAAAGCGUGGGGAGCGAACCGG
RNAcentral lists this ribosomal RNA (253 nucleotides) under uncultured bacterium. Its description in RNAcentral is "partial 16S ribosomal RNA". It matches the Rfam family "Bacterial small subunit ribosomal RNA", at positions 524 to 776 of the family's 1533-position model. The record is from RNAcentral.